RNAcentral lists this ribosomal RNA (1480 nucleotides) under Bacillus safensis. RNAcentral's name for it is "bacterial SSU rRNA". It matches the Rfam family "Bacterial small subunit ribosomal RNA". Lineage: Bacteria; Bacillati; Bacillota; Bacilli; Caryophanales; Bacillaceae. The record is from RNAcentral.
GCUCAGGACGAACGCUGGCGGCGUGCCUAAUACAUGCAAGUCGAGCGGACAGAAGGGAGCUUGCUCCCGGAUGUUAGCGGCGGACGGGUGAGUAACACGUGGGUAACCUGCCUGUAAGACUGGGAUAACUCCGGGAAACCGGAGCUAAUACCGGAUAGUUCCUUGAACCGCAUGGUUCAAGGAUGAAAGACGGUUUCGGCUGUCACUUACAGAUGGACCCGCGGCGCAUUAGCUAGUUGGUGGGGUAAUGGCUCACCAAGGCGACGAUGCGUAGCCGACCUGAGAGGGUGAUCGGCCACACUGGGACUGAGACACGGCCCAGACUCCUACGGGAGGCAGCAGUAGGGAAUCUUCCGCAAUGGACGAAAGUCUGACGGAGCAACGCCGCGUGAGUGAUGAAGGUUUUCGGAUCGUAAAGCUCUGUUGUUAGGGAAGAACAAGUGCGAGAGUAACUGCUCGCACCUUGACGGUACCUAACCAGAAAGCCACGGCUAACUACGUGCCAGCAGCCGCGGUAAUACGUAGGUGGCAAGCGUUGUCCGGAAUUAUUGGGCGUAAAGGGCUCGCAGGCGGUUUCUUAAGUCUGAUGUGAAAGCCCCCGGCUCAACCGGGGAGGGUCAUUGGAAACUGGGAAACUUGAGUGCAGAAGAGGAGAGUGGAAUUCCACGUGUAGCGGUGAAAUGCGUAGAGAUGUGGAGGAACACCAGUGGCGAAGGCGACUCUCUGGUCUGUAACUGACGCUGAGGAGCGAAAGCGUGGGGAGCGAACAGGAUUAGAUACCCUGGUAGUCCACGCCGUAAACGAUGAGUGCUAAGUGUUAGGGGGUUUCCGCCCCUUAGUGCUGCAGCUAACGCAUUAAGCACUCCGCCUGGGGAGUACGGUCGCAAGACUGAAACUCAAAGGAAUUGACGGGGGCCCGCACAAGCGGUGGAGCAUGUGGUUUAAUUCGAAGCAACGCGAAGAACCUUACCAGGUCUUGACAUCCUCUGACAACCCUAGAGAUAGGGCUUUCCCUUCGGGGACAGAGUGACAGGUGGUGCAUGGUUGUCGUCAGCUCGUGUCGUGAGAUGUUGGGUUAAGUCCCGCAACGAGCGCAACCCUUGAUCUUAGUUGCCAGCAUUCAGUUGGGCACUCUAAGGUGACUGCCGGUGACAAACCGGAGGAAGGUGGGGAUGACGUCAAAUCAUCAUGCCCCUUAUGACCUGGGCUACACACGUGCUACAAUGGACAGAACAAAGGGCUGCAAGACCGCAAGGUUUAGCCAAUCCCAUAAAUCUGUUCUCAGUUCGGAUCGCAGUCUGCAACUCGACUGCGUGAAGCUGGAAUCGCUAGUAAUCGCGGAUCAGCAUGCCGCGGGUGAAUACGUUCCCGGGCCUUGUACACACCGCCCGUCACACCACGAGAGUUUGCAACACCCGAAGUCGGUGAGGUAACCUUUAUGGAGCCAGCCGCCGAAGGUGGGGCAGAUGAUUGGGGUGAG